This 1097-nucleotide ribosomal RNA is filed under the name Halogeometricum sp. enrichment culture clone SVC_B02. Its description in RNAcentral is "bacterial SSU rRNA". It matches the Rfam family "Archaeal small subunit ribosomal RNA", at positions 41 to 1133 of the family's 1478-position model. The record is from RNAcentral. Lineage: Archaea; Methanobacteriati; Methanobacteriota; Halobacteria; Halobacteriales; Haloferacaceae.
CGAUUUUAGCCAUGCUAGUUGCGCGGGUUCAGACUCGCAGCAGAUAGCUCAGUAACACGUGGUCAAGCUACCCUGCAGACACGGACAACCUCGGGAAACUGAGGCUAAUCCGCGAUACCGAUCCCACGCUGGAAUGCCGGGAUCCACAAACGCUCCGGCGCUGCAGGAUGCGGCUGCGGCCGAUUAGGUAGACGGUGGGGUAACGGCCCACCGUGCCGAUAAUCGGUACGGGUUGUGAGAGCAAGAGCCCGGAGACGGAAUCUGAGACAAGAUUCCGGGCCCUACGGGGCGCAGCAGGCGCGAAACCUUUACACUGCACGCAAGUGCGAUAAGGGGACUCCGAGUGCGAGGGCAUAUAGUCCUCGCUUUUGAGAACCGUAAGGUGGUUCUCGAAUAAGAGCUGGGCAAGACCGGUGCCAGCCGCCGCGGUAAUACCGGCAGCUCAAGUGAUGGCCAAUCUUAUUGGGCCUAAAGCGUCCGUAGCUGGCCGUGAAAGUUCGUCGGGAAAUCCAUCCGCUCAACGGAUGGGCGUCCGGCGAAAACUUCACGGCUUGGGACCGGAAGGCUCGAGGGGUACGUCCGGGGUAGGAGUGAAAUCCUGUAAUCCUGGACGGACCGCCGAUGGCGAAAGCACCUCGAGAAGACGGAUCCGACAGUGAGGGACGAAAGCUAGGGUCUCGAACCGGAUUAGAUACCCGGGUAGUCCUAGCCGUAAACGAUGUUCACUAGGUGUGGCACAGGCUACGAGCCUGUGCUGUGCCGUAGGGAAGCCGAGAAGUGAACCGCCUGGGAAGUACGUCCGCAAGGAUGAAACUUAAAAGGAAUUGGCGGGGGAGCACUACAACCGGAGGAGCCUGCGGGUUUAAUUUGGACUCAACGCCGGACAUCUCACCAGCUCCGACUACAGUAAUGACGGUCAGGUUGAUGACCUUACCACGAGCUGUAGAGAGGAGGUGCAUGGCCGCCGUCAGCUCGUACCGUGAGGCGUCCUGUUAAGUCAGGCAACGAGCGAGACCCACGCACCUAAUUGCCAGCAGCAGUUCCGACUGGCUGGGUACAUUAGGUGGACUGCCAGUGCCCAACCUGGAGGAAGAAUG